UACGGAGGGUGCAAGCGUUGUUCGGAAUCACUGGGCGUAAAGGGCGUGUAGGCGGUCCGCUAAGUCUGAUGUGAAAGCCCGGGGCUCACCCCCGGAAGGGCAUUAGAAACUGGCGGACUCGAGUCCCGGAGAGGAAGGUGGAAUUCCUGGUGUAGCGGUGAAAUGCGUAGAUAUCAGGAGGAAUACCGGUGGCGAAGGCGGCCUUCUGGACGGUGACUGACGCUGAGACGCGAAAGCGUGGGGAGCAAACAGG
This 253-nucleotide ribosomal RNA is filed under the name uncultured bacterium. RNAcentral describes it as "partial 16S ribosomal RNA". It matches the Rfam family "Bacterial small subunit ribosomal RNA", at positions 524 to 776 of the family's 1533-position model. The record is from RNAcentral.